Molecule: long non-coding RNA, 376 nt
Organism: Acipenser ruthenus (sterlet)
Lineage: Eukaryota; Metazoa; Chordata; Actinopteri; Acipenseriformes; Acipenseridae
Exons: 4
Source: RefSeq, a predicted model, not a curated record
GUGGAGAGCCCGCUUGAUAGUGUGGACAAGCAUAUGAAAAGAAAAAAGGUCAUGUGGCCUGAUUGCAGUCAUACGAUUAGAACAGGGUGUGAUAGGAUCCAAGAGCUCUUUAACACAAAAGAGGACAAGUGUCUAGUGCUAAUAAGAGAAAUUCGAGAGCGGAUGUCAGCAAGCUACUGAUCUCUGGAGGACAAAGGCCAGCCCUGCAGAUGUCUGCCAGAGCCAAUGCGACACUCCCUUCGGAAUUCCACAGCCAUUUCACACAGCUAGGAAGCGAACCUGCGCUGUAUGACUCACCCUGCACACCACUGUGCUUUUACCAGGGACCUGUGCUUGACGUCUUUUUGAUGAUGGUGGACAGGGUCCGACAUCGGAC